This 801-nucleotide ribosomal RNA is filed under the name uncultured marine archaeon. Its description in RNAcentral is "bacterial SSU rRNA". It matches the Rfam family "Archaeal small subunit ribosomal RNA", at positions 52 to 874 of the family's 1478-position model. The record is from RNAcentral.
UGCGAGUCUGAGCAUUAGCUCGGCGUACCGCUCAGUAACACGUGGGUAACCUGCCCUAUCGUUUUGAAUAACCUCGGGAAACUGAGAACAAUACAUCAUAGUCCACUACGCCUGGAACGGUGAGUGGAUGAAGGUAGGAUGGGCCUGCGGCGUAUCAGGUUGUAGGGGGUGUAAUGGACCUCCUAGCCAUCGACGCGUACGGGUGUUGGGAGACAUAGCCCGGAGAUGGAUUCUGAGACACGAAUCCAGGCCCUACGGGGCGCAGCAGUUACGAAAACUUGGCAAUGCGGGAAACCGUGACCAGGGAACUCCAAGUGAGUCUCUUUUAGGGGCUCUUUUCUUGACUCUAAAACGGUCUUGGAAUAAGGGGUGGGUAAGGACGGUGCCAGCCGCCGCGGUAAUACCGGCGCCUCAAGUGGUCGUCGCUUUUAUUGGGCCUAAAACGUCCGUAGCCGGUUUGGUACAUUCGUGGGUAAAUCAGCUCGCUCAACGAGUUGAAUUCUGCGAGGACGGCCAGACUAGGGACCGGGAGAGGUGUGGGGAACUCUCAGGGUAGGGGUAAAAUCCUGUCAUCCUGAGAGGACCACCUGUUGCGAAGGCGCCACACUAGAACGGAUCCGACGGUCAGGGACGAAGCCUAGGGGCACGAACCGGAUUAGAUACCCGGGUAGUCCUAGGUGUAAACGCUGUGGACUUGGUGUUGGGGAAGCCCAGAGCUUUCCCAGUGCCGUAGCGAAGGUGUUGAGUCCACUGCCUGGGGAGUACGGUCGCAAGGCCGAAACUUAAAGGAAUUGGCGGGGG